This 792-nucleotide ribosomal RNA is filed under the name Ligilactobacillus salivarius. RNAcentral's name for it is "bacterial SSU rRNA". It matches the Rfam family "Bacterial small subunit ribosomal RNA", at positions 17 to 782 of the family's 1533-position model. The record is from RNAcentral. Lineage: Bacteria; Bacillati; Bacillota; Bacilli; Lactobacillales; Lactobacillaceae.
UCCUGGCUCAGGAUAGACGCGGCGGCGUGCUAAUACAUGCAAGUCGAACGAAACUUUCUUACACCGAAUGCUUGCAUUCACCGUAAGAAGUUGAGUGGCGGACGGGUGAGUAACACGUGGGUAACCUGCCUAAAAGAAGGGGAUAACACUUGGAAACAGGUGCUAAUACCGUAUAUCUCUAAGGAUCGCAUGAUCCUUAGAUGAAAGAUGGUUCUGCUAUCGCUUUUAGAUGGACCCGCGGCGUAUUAACUAGUUGGUGGGGUAACGGCCUACCAAGGUGAUGAUACGUAGCCGAACUGAGAGGUUGAUCGGCCACAUUGGGACUGAGACACGGCCCAAACUCCUACGGGAGGCAGCAGUAGGGAAUCUUCCACAAUGGACGCAAGUCUGAUGGAGCAACGCCGCGUGAGUGAAGAAGGUCUUCGGAUCGUAAAACUCUGUUGUUAGAGAAGAACACGAGUGAGAGUAACUGUUCAUUCGAUGACGGUAUCUAACCAGCAAGUCACGGCUAACUACGUGCCAGCAGCCGCGGUAAUACGUAGGUGGCAAGCGUUGUCCGGAUUUAUUGGGCGUAAAGGGAACGCAGGCGGUCUUUUAAGUCUGAUGUGAAAGCCUUCGGCUUAACCGGAGUAGUGCAUUGGAAACUGGAAGACUUGAGUGCAGAAGAGGAGAGUGGAACUCCAUGUGUAGCGGUGAAAUGCGUAGAUAUAUGGAAGAACACCAGUGGCGAAAGCGGCUCUCUGGUCUGUAACUGACGCUGAGGUUCGAAAGCGUGGGUAGCAACAGGAUAGA